CCUACGGGUGGCAGCAGUGAGGAAUAUUGGUCAAUGGGCGGGAGCCUGAACCAGCCAAGUCGCGUGGGGGAUGACGGUCCUACGGAUUGUAAACCUCUUUUGCCGGGGAGCAAGCGUGCGUUCGUGAACGCGCGUCGAGAGUACCCGGAGAAAAAGCAUCGGCUAACUCCGUGCCAGCAGCCGCGGUAAUACGGAGGAUGCGAGCGUUAUCCGGAUUUAUUGGGUUUAAAGGGUGCGCAGGCGGAGGUGCAAGUCAGCGGUCAAAUUGCGGGGCUCAACCCCGUACUGCCGUUGAAACUGCAUCCCUUGAGUGCGCGAGAAGUAUGCGGAAUGCGUGGUGUAGCGGUGAAAUGCAUAGAUAUCACGCAGAACUCCGAUUGCGAAGGCAGCAUACCGGCGCGCAACUGACGCUCAUGCACGAAAGCGUGGGUAUCGAACAGGAUUAGAUACCCUAGUAGUC
RNAcentral lists this ribosomal RNA (460 nucleotides) under uncultured bacterium. RNAcentral's name for it is "partial 16S ribosomal RNA". It matches the Rfam family "Bacterial small subunit ribosomal RNA", at positions 338 to 795 of the family's 1533-position model. The record is from RNAcentral.